RNAcentral lists this long non-coding RNA (900 nucleotides) under Homo sapiens (human). Its description in RNAcentral is "HSALNT0340792". Lineage: Eukaryota; Metazoa; Chordata; Mammalia; Primates; Hominidae. The record is from RNAcentral.
UAUUAACAAAGUCUGUUGAAAGCAUCAACUAUCUUGGGAAAUGUCGUCUCCAGAUUUGAGUCAUGUUUUAGUGUAAUGUUUAAUCUUAUGUGAGGAUGUUGGAGAAACUACAGCAGGACACUAAGGAAUGAAGGUCAAAACCACAAAUGCAGGGAGCUAGAUGUAUCAUUAACUUUUUAAAUAUACUGAGUUAUAAGGUCAAAAAAUUACAGACAGAACUUCCAGCUUCUGCUGAUGGUGUAGGCAUCUGGAAAAUGUGUCUUUAUUAAAAUUACAUUUAAAAACGAGUGAUAUUCAGGGUCAUGACUUUCUGAACCCAUCAGAGAGCUGAAUUGCAGGGCAAUUAAAUAGUUUAAAAUGAAGGAAAGAGAGGUGCCUCCUACAAUAACAGAGAUGGGCUGCAAACAUUGGAUGACCUGUGGCAGAGCACGGAAAGAAGGCAAGGAUGACAGCUACAUGCAGACAAGGUCUCCAGAUUUGCCACCCAUGCUGAGUGCCGUGGUGUGAUCAUGGCUUAUUUCAACCUCAACCUCCCCCACUCAAGCGAUCCUCCUGCCUCAGCCUCUGGAGUAGCUGGGACUACAGGCACGCACCACCACACCCAGCCAUAAUUUGCCUCUUGCUGUAACUAAAAGGUCACAAAAACAAAGAAUUCUAAAAAAUCUUCUUCUUAAGUGAAAGAGAUUUAAAAGAACACCUGAAGGGAAAUAAGAAGAGAAACAGAAUAUGAAGAGGAUUCAACCAAAUAGAGCCAAUGAAGGAGACAGAGCAACUUAAAUAAUAAGAGCAAUUUUAAAAAAUGGGACAAAAAGGAAAGGAUACUCAGUGCAUAGUUGAUGGCUUAAGAAAAUAAGAUUUUUUUAUAUUAUACUUUAAGUUCUAGGGUACAUGUACACAACA